Gadus chalcogrammus (walleye pollock) is the source of this 566-nucleotide long non-coding RNA. RefSeq lists it as uncharacterized. The record is from RefSeq and is a predicted model, not a curated record. The transcript is spliced from 5 exons. Lineage: Eukaryota; Metazoa; Chordata; Actinopteri; Gadiformes; Gadidae.
CAUCAUCAAUGGAUCUCUGAUAACAUGAUCAAUAUGGACCAAAAACGUAGAUCCAGUUACUUUUCACCCACGGAAUUGGAAAUAUUAAUGCACGCAUAUGCCGAGCAGGAACACAUUUUCACCAAAAAAAGCAAUACCGCCGCGGCAGCGAGAGCACGAGAGAGAGCUUGGCAGGAAAUAGCCAAUGCGAACAACCCGAGUUGCCCCAAGAGGACUUGGCAGCAAAUGAAAAUGAAGUAUAAAAAUAUAGUUCAAACAGCAAAUCGAAAAAAAGCAGAGGCCCGGAAGACUGGAGGGGGUCCACCACCUGCAGCCCUCACAGUGGCUGAGGAGAUGGCCCUCAGCCAACAGAGUAUGCGUCCUGUGGCUGAGGGCAUCCCUGGAGGGAGCUCCUCUGAUCCCCCCCACCCCCCAGGAUAGAAGUGCCUUUAUCAGAGUUACUGAUGGCGUCAUCGCCCUACUUGAACCAGAUGCCCUCACCAACCUCCAUGCAAUUGUAACAAUUCAAAGGAUGCUUUGGAGAUCCAAAUUUUGGAACAUAAGUUAAAGGAAAUAAAGAAAUCCUC